This 391-nucleotide long non-coding RNA is filed under the name Daucus carota (carrot). Its description in RNAcentral is "long non-coding RNA (DCAR_LNC007580)". The record is from RNAcentral. Lineage: Eukaryota; Viridiplantae; Streptophyta; Magnoliopsida; Apiales; Apiaceae.
GCAACUUUUGAAAAGUUUUUACAAAACUUGUCGAAAGUUGGGGGGCAAAUGAUAUGGGUCAGAAGUGAUAUUUAAUUAUUGUUAGAUAUUAAAAGCCCAAGAACACUAAAGCCCAGUUAAAAAGGGGCCUGAGUCUCUAUUUAUUAGAUAAUUUCGUGAUUAAUUAAUAAAGGCCCAGUCAGAGGACCAGUAACAAGUCUGAAUUCUAUGAUACAUCUGACUCUAGCAGAUAAAUAUUCAGAAGUUCGGAUAAACGUCAACAACAAGAGAAUAAGAGUUCUAUCUUAUCUCUUGCUUCGAGGCAUACUUCGAUAAGAAGUCUGAUACACGGAAUCAUACUUCCGUCCCACUUCUAACUCCGAAGCGCCUAUAUAAAGGGCUCUACCCCUCA